CCAAUAGCGUAUAUUAAAGUUGUUGCAGUUAAAAAGCUCGUAGUUGAAUUUCGGGACCAAUCUGCCGGUCGUGCCUCCGGUACGCACUGGUUUUAUUGGUUUCUCCCUUCUGACGAACCAUGAUGUCAUUAAUUUGGUGUCAUGGGGAAUCAGGACUGUUACCUUGAAAAAAUUAGAGUGUUUAUAGCAGGCUCACGCUUGAAUACAUUAGCAUGGAAUAAUGAAAUAGGACGUUUGACCCUAUUUUGUUGGUUUCUAGGAUCGACGUAAUGAUUAAUAGGGAUAGUUGGGGGCAUUAGUAUUCAAUUGUCAGAGGUGAAAUUCUUGGAUUUAUUGAAGACUAACUACUGCGAAAGCAUUUGCCAAGGAUGUUUUCAUUAAUCAAGAACGAAAGUUAGGGGAUCGAAGACGAUCAGAUACCGUCGUAGUCUUAACCAUAAACUAUGCCGACUAGGGAUCGGAUGAUGUUAAUUUUUUAAUGACUCAUUCGGCGCCUUACG
RNAcentral lists this ribosomal RNA (500 nucleotides) under uncultured Glomeromycotina. RNAcentral describes it as "partial small subunit ribosomal RNA". It matches the Rfam family "Eukaryotic small subunit ribosomal RNA", at positions 591 to 1092 of the family's 1831-position model. The record is from RNAcentral. Lineage: Eukaryota; Fungi; Glomeromycota.